RNAcentral lists this long non-coding RNA (251 nucleotides) under Ursus americanus (American black bear). Its description in RNAcentral is "lncRNA (ENSUAMG00000004981.1)". Lineage: Eukaryota; Metazoa; Chordata; Mammalia; Carnivora; Ursidae. The record is from RNAcentral.
CGGCCGCUGCUCGCCGGCUUGGCGACCUGCGGGCUGGCGGCGACCGGGCUUGGACCGGGGCGGCCGCUGCAAUGGCAUGAUCUAGCAGAAAGAUGGCUGCCAUUGGCUAUUUUAUUUUUCUUUCUGUGGCAAGACUGUCAUGGUGCCUGGAUAUUUCAGGAAAUCCAGUAUCAAAAUUGACUGCAGAAGAAAGAAACUAACAGACCAAUAACGAUGGAAGAAAUUGAGAAAGUUAUCAAAAAGCUACCAUC